CUCUGCAGGUCUGAUUUCAUAACUUGCGUUUCUUGUAUGACUUUAUGGGCCUCGAAUUCGUUUUCAUUGGCUAAUUCAAUGAAACUCAUGGAAGGCCUCUGAUCCUAGUUUUCUCAAUAAAUUCGAGCUGUCUAGAAACAAUCCUUACAAUGGGACCUUUUUUUAUGGAGUUCAAAGACUCUUUCUGGAAGAUUGUGGCAGAUAUAUUUUAGCAUCCAAAGACUCAUGAUUGAUACUCUGCUUGAGGAACCGAGAAAGCUCAACUCUGUUAGAGAGUGGAGCAUGCAACAUGCUCUAUGAUUCCCAUUAGUUCUCUGUGUUAAUAUUCUAGUUCUUCUCUAGAAAAAACAGAUGCUUGGAGAAGAGAGAAGUCAAACCAUAUCCAAAGUCAUAGCAGUGCAGAGUAUGGUUUUGUUCCACCAAGUUCAGAAAUUGUGAACGUAUUGGAUCUGCUCAUACCACCUCCCUUCAUGAUGAAUUUUAACAACUCAGUACUUGGAGGAUGGCUACUCAACUAAAUCCUAUUUAUUGGAGCACAAUUCCUAACUCAGAUGGUGGCACUUUGAAUCUUUGGAACAGUUGUAGGAGGAAGAUUUGCCAAAGCCUCCCUAUGCAAUGCAUGGGCCUUUGGUUGCAAGUGAGAUUUGAAGAUUCUAUUCUCUCUUGGAAGACUUCAACUCAUUUUUUUUUUUUAGUUUUGAGCUUUGAGCUUUUACUUCCAAGCAUGUGCAAAGAAGAAAGAAAGCAACAACAAGGUCCACUUGUAGAAGUUUUACAUGGAGUGAAACUCCCAUAAGCUGUAAGUUUUACAUGGAGUGAAAAUAUUGUAGCUAUUGGUUUGUCAACCUUGAAGGUUAUAGUUUUGUUUCCCAUUGGAUCUCUGAGGAAUGUGUUUGCUGAAUCAUACAUUUUGAGCUUACUAUUGAUUUUGUGUAUAUACAUACAUAUAAAUGAUGUUUUCUUCUUCAUUCA
Vitis riparia (riverbank grape) is the source of this 972-nucleotide long non-coding RNA. RefSeq lists it as uncharacterized. The record is from RefSeq and is a predicted model, not a curated record. The transcript has 5 exons. Lineage: Eukaryota; Viridiplantae; Streptophyta; Magnoliopsida; Vitales; Vitaceae.